Molecule: ribosomal RNA, 516 nt
Filed under: uncultured bacterium
Lineage: Bacteria
Description: bacterial SSU rRNA
Rfam family: Bacterial small subunit ribosomal RNA
Source: RNAcentral
AGGGUUCGAUUCUGGCUCAGGAUGAACGCUAGCGACAGGCUUAACACAUGCAAGUCGAGGGGCAGCAUAAAAGUAGCAAUACUUGGUGGCGACCGGCGCACGGGUGAGUAACGCGUAUGCAACCUACCUAUCAGAGGGGAAUAACCCGGCGAAAGUCGGACUAAUACCGCAUAAAACAGGGGCACCGCAUGGUGAUAUUUGUUAAAGAAAUUCGCUGAUAGAUGGGCAUGCGUUCCAUUAGGUAGUUGGUGAGGUAACGGCUCACCAAGCCGACGAUGGAUAGGGAACUGAGAGGUUGGUCCCCCACACUGGUACUGAGACACGGACCAGACUCCUACGGGAGGCAGCAGUGAGGAAUAUUGGUCAAUGGGCGGGAGCCUGAACCAGCCAAGUCGCGUGAAGGAAGAAGGAUCUAUGGUUCGUAAACUUCUUUUGCAGGGGAAUAAAGUGCAGGACGUGUCCUGUUUUGUAUGUACCCUGAGAAUAAGGAUCGGCUAACUCCGUGCCAGCCGCAGC